UACGUAGGGGGCAAGCGUUGUCCGGAAUCAUUGGGCGUAAAGCGCGCGUAGGCGGCCCUGUAAGUCCGUUGUGAAAGUCAAAGGCUCAACCUUUGAAAGCCGAUGGAUACUGCAGAGCUUGAGUACCGGAGAGGAUGGUGGAAUUCCCGAAGUAGAGGUGAAAUUCGUAGAUAUCGGGAGGAACACCGGUGGCGAAGGCGACCAUCUGGACGGAUACUGACGCUGAGACGCGAAAGCGUGGGUAGCAAACAGG
RNAcentral lists this ribosomal RNA (253 nucleotides) under uncultured bacterium. RNAcentral describes it as "partial 16S ribosomal RNA". It matches the Rfam family "Bacterial small subunit ribosomal RNA", at positions 524 to 776 of the family's 1533-position model. The record is from RNAcentral.